Molecule: transfer RNA, 74 nt
Filed under: Treponema sp.
Lineage: Bacteria; Pseudomonadati; Spirochaetota; Spirochaetia; Treponematales; Treponemataceae
Also listed under: 1 other name
Description: tRNA-Arg
Rfam family: tRNA
About the family: Transfer RNA (tRNA) molecules are approximately 80 nucleotides in length. Their secondary structure includes four short double-helical elements and three loops (D, anti-codon, and T loops).
Source: RNAcentral
GCGUUCGUAGCUCAACUGGAUAGAGCAAUGGACUUCGAAUCCGGAGGUUGCACGUUCAAGUCGUGUCGGACGCA